This 254-nucleotide ribosomal RNA is filed under the name uncultured bacterium. RNAcentral's name for it is "partial 16S ribosomal RNA". It matches the Rfam family "Bacterial small subunit ribosomal RNA", at positions 524 to 776 of the family's 1533-position model. The record is from RNAcentral.
UACGGGGGGAGCAAGCGUUGUUCGGAUUUACUGGGCGUAAAGGGCGCGUAGGCGGCCACCUCAAGUCGGUUGGGAAAUCUCCGGGCUUAACCCGGAAAGGUCAAUCGAUACUGCGGGGCUAGAGUACCAAAGAGGGUCGCGGAAUUCCCGGUGUAGAGGUGAAAUUCGUAGAUAUCGGGAGGAACACCGGUGGCGAAGGCGGCGACCUGGGUGGAUACUGACGCUGAGGCGCGAAAGCGUGGGGAGCAAACAGG